Nerophis ophidion (straightnose pipefish) is the source of this 3143-nucleotide long non-coding RNA. RefSeq lists it as uncharacterized. Lineage: Eukaryota; Metazoa; Chordata; Actinopteri; Syngnathiformes; Syngnathidae. The record is from RefSeq and is a predicted model, not a curated record. The transcript has 5 exons.
UCUACAAGAGGCUAGGAUCCUUCAACGUCUGUACAAAGAUGUUGAAGAUGUUCUACGAGUCGCUGGUGGCGGGCGCCUUCUUGUACGCCGUGGCUUGCCGGGGCAGCGGGCUAAGAGUGAGGGACACAAACAGACUGGACAAGUUGGUAGAGAAGGCGGGUAACGUGGUGGGAGUGGAGCUGGACUCUCUGGCGGUGGUGUCAGAGAGGAGAAGUCCAGCAAAACUCCUAGCCAUUAUGGACAACACCUCCCACCCACUACCCUCGGACCUUGCGGAGAGAAUGAGCACGUUCAGUGGAAGGCUCAGACUAAAAAAAAUCUUUAAAAAAAAAAAAAUCUUAACCCAGACAGUUUAAUUCUUAUUUUAAUUCAUAUCUAUUUUGAGGUGCGGUGGGCUUAAUGGCACGUUUUUAUAAUGGGGUACAUAUUAAGAAAGUUAUAGUAUUUUUAACAAAAAGGUCAUGACUAUAAUCUUGAGCCCCAAUGACUUUGUAUUGAAGAGGUUGACCAUAAAUUAGUGCAUUUUGACCAGGUUAAAACAAUCAUAAGUUUUUAAACAUGUAUCACAGGAAAACUAUUCUUAUAUCAUGUUGCUAGUCUUAACAAGACCUGUCUGAUAAUACCGGUUUCAUUUAAAUUAAUGAAUAUUUAACAUUUUACACACACACCUAUUUUAAUUUCCUAAAUAUAUGCAGUUUAUACAAUCAAUAACAUGAUAAAAAACAUACUCGGCUACAGUCAGCGAGUAAGCAAAUGUACUGCUGCUUUCAAAAUGGCGGGGCAAAUUGGUUAAUCAUUGAACACUUGGAUGCUAUCUCUUAUUUAUUACAGCUAGCCUGCCAAUAAAACGCAGCCCGGACCUUCAUUGUCAAUUGUCACUUUACCUACAACAGUAUUAUAAAAGUGGUGUUUAGGGCACGUCCAACCGGUAGGAGGCCACGGGGAAUACCCAGGACACGUUGGGAAGACUAUGUCUCCCGGCUGGCCUGGGAACGCCUCGGGAUCCCCCGGGAAGACCUAGACGAAGUGGCUGGUGAGAGGGAAGUCUGGGCUUCCCUGCUUAGGCUGCUGCCCCCGCGGCCCGACCUCGGAUAAGCGGAAGAUGAUGGAUGGAUGGAUGGAGUAUUAUAAAACAUUUUUAAGUUAAGGCCCCCAAAUUAAUAUGCACUGCAGAAUCUAAUUGUGAAGGUCAUUAUGUAUGCUAACACUACUUGUUGGGCAGACGCCAUUAGCGUUACCGCAACCUCCCAAAGGACCACUUCGUCGUCACAACCCCCUAAAUAUUUUCACUUCACAACAUUACAUGGUUGACCAACUAAAAAAUAUUAGGAUACUUACCUCUCCAAGUCUAAUGUCACAAGCGUUGUGGUCGUCGUUUCCAAAAAAUUUCCCGCUUCUUCUUCUCUUUCUUCUUCUCUUUCUUCUUCGUUUUAGUUUAAGGUAGGCGCAGACAACGUUCAAAUGUUACGCCACCUACUGUUUCCCCGCUUCUUCUUCUGACGUUAAUUGAUGGCAAACAACGCGUGAUGUCCGCCGCCGUCUGAUAGAAAGCAUAAAUUUUCUCAAUUGCCUUCAUUUGAAAGUUGCUCAUAGCCAAAAAUGGCUAUUUUCAGAUGGACAUAUAACUUUAUCUAAAUUCUGAGAUGUGAAUCUCAACAUCCUCGCGAGAUUUAGCACGACACCCCAUGAAUCUGUCCAAUCAUUUUUGCUCUUCCUGGAAAACACGCAUGCGCAUUUAGUGGGCGGAUGUGACUUGAUUUCGAUUGGAAGAAACAAUUCAGCAUUGAAGGAAUAACAACUGAAAUCAUCCCGUCCUGCAGCCACCAAUGUGAAUGUGGAAAAUGACGACCAAUGUUUAAAGCGUGCAUAUCACAACAUACAAGAUGCCGUCAUGGCGACACACAACUUAUCACCCAAGAUGCUCGUCACUCCUGUUGCAUGCUGGCAGCAGGGUAACACUGCAGGAGGCGGUGCCUCCUGAUGGAACCCAAAACACUGCUCUUCAAAUGGAACACAUCCAACCUUCAGGUGUCCAUGCAGGUUGUACCACUCUGGAACAUCAAGCCUCUCCCUACGUACCAGCACAUGAAAUUAUUUCUACUUCUAACCAUCAAAGACAUGGAAAACCAUUUUCCAGUUCAGCCCUCCAGAUGCUCCUGAUGGCCUAACAACUGAACUACAUGUCGAUGCUGAGUAUGAUCUAUCUCAAUCAUUUGAGGAAGCUCUCCCUGAUAUAGGAGAUUGGAUGUACAAUGACGGACAUACGUUUAAUGAAGGAUUUGAAGAUAGUUUGAGUGAGGAGUGUGCAGAAGAGUCACAUUUCAAGGACACAACAGACAAACCAAUAAAUGACAAUGCAUCAGAAACCGUGGCAGAGUGUCUUCUGAUCAUCAUGGGUUAUGUAAACUGUCAUAAAGUCACUGAUAAGGCCCUAAGUGAUAUGCUCAAAAUGUUCAAGUUGCUUUGUCCCGAUAGUCUGAACACAGACUGCUUAAACAGUGUGCAGAAGUUCAAAAACUUUUUUUUAUCCCGCUCUGCAUCAACGCCUAUUAUAUUACAUAAAUCCUCCAGUAAUUGUUUUGGACCAAUUGAAAGUAAACAAAUAAAAUGCCUGUUUUGUGGGACCAGUGUGUCAGAAGAAAGAUUAUCAUCCUUUUUUAAAGUAUGGACAGAUUGAUUUCUUCUUUACCAUAGCACAAUCAUGUGCCAAAUGGGCCCUUGUUCGUGAUUUUAAACAUGCAGGUUUUUCUUUGCUGCAAGAUAGUGUAACAUAUGAGACAUGCAGUCCUGUUAUUCCCCUAUUGGAAACCUCUGCCAGUACAGUAGUAUCCUUGGAUGACAUAUUGGGUAAAGUUGUUUUACUUGACUCCACAUUCAUGCCUGGCAUUGUGUUUGCAGUUAAAUUCCCAAACACACUUGAAAAGCUUUAAAUAAUUAAGAACUGAACUGGCUUAAGAAGCCACAAAUCAAAUAUUUGAUCAUUGUUAUAAAUGCUCUGAAAAUACACACUGAUGUGAUGUUGCCGUGGAUGCUGUAAAAGUCUGUAAAUAUGUACUGUAUAUGGAGUACCAUUGUUAAUUAAGUUUUUGAAUUGUGUGUCAUAUUUCAGUGGCCAAUAUAUUAAAUUUACUUUUGAAAUAAAA